This 253-nucleotide ribosomal RNA is filed under the name uncultured bacterium. RNAcentral describes it as "partial 16S ribosomal RNA". It matches the Rfam family "Bacterial small subunit ribosomal RNA", at positions 524 to 776 of the family's 1533-position model. The record is from RNAcentral.
UACAGAGGUGGCAAGCGUUGUUCGGAAUUACUGGGCGUAAAGGGCGCGUAGGCGGUUUCGUAAGUCCCGUGUGAAAGCCCCCGGCUCAACUGGGGAACUGCACGGGAAACUGCGAGGCUUGAGUUCGGGAGAGGGAAGCGGAAUUCCGGGUGUAGCGGUGAAAUGCGCAGAUAUCAGGAGGAACACCGGUGGCGAAGGCGGGUCUCUGGGCCGAUACUGACGCUGAGGAGCGAAAGCGUGGGGAGCGAACAGG